CCUACGGGUGGCAGCAGUGGGGAAUAUUGCACAAUGGGGGAAACCCUGAUGCAGCAACGCCGCGUGAGUGAUGACGGCCUUCGGGUUGUAAAGCUCUGUCUUCAGGGACGAUAAUGUCGGUACCUGAGGAGGAAGCCACGCCUAACUACGGGCCACCAGCCGCGGUCAUACGGAGGGGGCGGGUGUUUUCCGGAUUUACUGGGCGUAAAGGGGGCGUAGGCGGGAUUUUAAGGGGGACGUGAAAUAAUCGGGCCCAACUGGAGUGCUGCCUUUCAAACUGGAAGUCUAGAGUGGAGGAGAGGAGAAUGGAAUGCCUAGUGUAGCGGUGAAAUGCGUAGAGAUUAGGAAGAACACCAGUGGCGAAGGCGAUUCACUGGACUGUAACUGACGCUGAGGCUCGAAAGCGUGGGGAGCAAACAGGAUUAGAUACCCUGGUAGUC
This 440-nucleotide ribosomal RNA is filed under the name uncultured bacterium. RNAcentral describes it as "partial 16S ribosomal RNA". It matches the Rfam family "Bacterial small subunit ribosomal RNA", at positions 338 to 795 of the family's 1533-position model. The record is from RNAcentral.